Molecule: ribosomal RNA, 218 nt
Filed under: uncultured prokaryote
Description: partial 16S ribosomal RNA
Rfam family: Bacterial small subunit ribosomal RNA
Source: RNAcentral
CCCUAUGGGGUGCCGCAGGCGGAAUGAUAAGUCAGUGGUGAAAUCCUACGGCUCAACUGUAGAACUGCCAUUGAUACUGUUGUUCUUGAGUACACUUGGAGUGGGCGGAAUGUGUCAUGUAGCGGUGAAAUGCUUAGAUAUGACACAGAACACCGAUCGCGAAGGCAGCUCACUAAGUUGUAACUGACGCUCAGGCACGAAAGCGUUGGGAUCAACCA